UGUACACACCGCCCGUCACACCAUGGGAGCUGGUAAUACCCAAAGUCGGUUUGCUAACCUCGGAGGCGACCGCCUAAGGUAGGACUGGUGACUGGGGUGAAGUCGUAACAAGGUAUCCCUACGAGAACGUGGGGAUGGAUCACCUCCUUU
Molecule: ribosomal RNA, 150 nt
Filed under: Metamycoplasma hominis
Lineage: Bacteria; Bacillati; Mycoplasmatota; Mycoplasmoidales; Metamycoplasmataceae
Description: Mycoplasma hominis partial 16S ribosomal RNA
Rfam family: Bacterial small subunit ribosomal RNA
Source: RNAcentral